GACGAACGCUGGCGGCGUGCUUAACACAUGCAUGUCGAACGGAAAGGCCCUGCUUUUGUGGGGUGCUCGAGUGGCGAACGGGUGAGUAACACGUGAGUAACCUGCCCUUGACUUUGGGAUAACUUCAGGAAACUGGGGCUAAUACCGGAUAGGAGCUCCUGCUGCAUGGUGGGGGUUGGAAAGUUUCGGCGGUUGGGGAUGGACCCGCGGCUUAUCAGCUUGUUGGUGGGGUAGUGGCUUACCAAGGCUUUGACGGGUAGCCGGCCUGAGAGGGUGACCGGCCACAUUGGGACUGAGAUACGGCCCAGACUCCUACGGGAGGCAGCAGUGGGGAAUAUUGCACAAUGGGCGGAAGCCUGAUGCAGCAACGCCGCGUGCGGGAUGACGGCCUUCGGGUUGUAAACCGCUUUCGCCUGUGACGAAGCGUGAGUGACGGUAAUGGGUAAAGAAGCACCGGCUAACUACGUGCCAGCAGCCGCGGUGAUACGUAGGGUGCGAGCGUUGUCCGGAUUUAUUGGGCGUAAAGGGCUCGUAGGUGGUUGAUCGCGUCGGAAGUGUAAUCUUGGGGCUUAACCCUGAGCGUGCUUUCGAUACGGGUUGACUUGAGGAAGGUAGGGGAGAAUGGAAUUCCUGGUGGAGCGGUGGAAUGCGCAGAUAUCAGGAGGAACACCAGUGGCGAAGGCGGUUCUCUGGGCCUUUCCUGACGCUGAGGAGCGAAAGCGUGGGGAGCGAACAGGCUUAGAUACCCUGGUAGUCCACGCUGUAAACGGUGGGUACUAGGUGUGGGGUCCAUUCCACGGGUUCCGUGCCGUAGCUAACGCUUUAAGUACCCCGCCUGGGGAGUACGGCUGCAAGGCUAAAACUCAAAGGAAUUGACGGGGCCCCGCACAAGCGGCGGAGCAUGCGGAUUAAUUCGAUGCAACGCGUAGAACCUUACCUGGGUUUGACAUGGAUCGGGAGUGCUCAGAGAUGGGUGUGCCUCUUUUGGGGUCGGUUCACAGGUGGUGCAUGGCUGUCGUCAGCUCGUGUCGUGAGAUGUUGGGUUAAGUCCCGCAACGAGCGCAACCCUUGUUCACUGUUGCCAGCACGUUAUGGUGGGGACUCAGUGGAGACCGCCGGGGUCAACUCGGAGGAAGGUGGGGAUGACGUCAAGUCAUCAUGCCCCUUAUGUCCAGGGCUUCACGCAUGCUACAAUGGCUGGUACAGAGAGUGGCGAGCCUGUGAGGGUGAGCGAAUCUCGGAAAGCCGGUCUCAGUUCGGAUUGGGGUCUGCAACUCGACCUCAUGAAGUCGGAGUCGCUAGUAAUCGCAGAUCAGCAACGCUGCGGUGAAUAAAUUCCCGGG
Molecule: ribosomal RNA, 1343 nt
Filed under: uncultured bacterium
Lineage: Bacteria
Description: 16S ribosomal RNA
Rfam family: Bacterial small subunit ribosomal RNA
Source: RNAcentral